AAGCAAACAAGCAUCAGAUAAUUACGGUGCGAGCGAACUGAAGAAACGUUUUCUCAUUUUUUAAUUCUUAUGAUUUCUCUGAAUUGGCGGGCGUAACUGAAAAAAAAAGUCUUUUUAAAGAGUGUUUACAAGAAGGUAUGAAAAAGUAUUCAUCCACUUUCUUGAGUAACAUUAUCAGGUAGUAAUAUUCCACUCUUAAUAAUUAUGACGCAAUAUGAUGUCAUGCAUCAUCACACUUCUGCCAUGAUGUUUCAUAUUUCAUAACAAUAUUUAAAACAACAUACACAGAUAAUCAUAACAGAGGCUCGGCUCAACUUUUUGCAAGAACCACAAUCACCCUAUUUCGUGGGUCACUGACUGACUGUUUCAGCAACAUGGUAUUGCUUGAUUGAUAAGCCGUUCUAACCGAUUAUCACGGAUAUAUUCGCAAAAGCGAGCUUGUGAUUAUUCACAACAAUUUCGUCUUAAAAUACGCACGCUGUUGAAUCAUGGUAAUCGCAGCUAGAAAUGUUGACCUAACAGCCGCCACUCAUAAAGCCGAUGUUUACGUUCCGCUGCCUCAUGCGCUGCACCAAAUCGACACGUGUUGUUCCAUCCACUUCCUUAUCAACCUGGCUUGGAUUCGAUUAUGAUUUCCGAUGAAGUAAUAACAAUAAUCUGGAGGAGUAAACAGCGAGAAGUGCAAGAGCACCGUUCGGUUCGGUUUGUUUAUCUGCUCGGCUACAGUGGAUUCUGAACAUUCGGAUGAGCAGUACCAAGAUGUGGAGUAAGUUUGCCAUUAUUUGCAUCAUAGUUUGGAUAACGGCGAGCGAACCGCACGCCAGUGGAUUGAUUUCCGAAGUUGAAAGGUCGUCAUCGGGGAGCAAAAUCGAGAGUAAGUCAGAUACACCAGCCUUGGAUCCUGACAUACCAGUGGCAACCACGACGGAAAUGGAUGUGCUGACAAAGCACAAACGAUGCAGCCAUCUUUGCAACAGAUUUUGCAAGGCAGACGGAUUCGCAUACGGUGUGUGUACGAGAAACAAUGGUUGUACAUGUGGCGUUGGAUUUUUUGGCAUGCAGCGGUUUUAGCGUUAAUGUGUGUGAUGUAUUUCUCAAGAACGCGAUAGCAAUAAAUUUAUUUACCAAC
Long non-coding RNA from Toxorhynchites rutilus septentrionalis, 1129 nucleotides. RefSeq lists it as uncharacterized. The transcript has 2 exons. The record is from RefSeq and is a predicted model, not a curated record. Lineage: Eukaryota; Metazoa; Arthropoda; Insecta; Diptera; Culicidae.